GAUGAACGCUGGCGGCGUGCCUAAUACAUGCAAGUCGAGCGAACGGACGAGAAGCUUGCUUCUCUGAUGUUAGCGGCGGACGGGUGAGUAACACGUGUAUAACCUACCUAUAAGACUGGGAUAACUUCGGGAAACCGGAGCUAAUACCGGAUAAUAUUUUGAACCGCAUGGGUCAAAAGUGAAAGACGGUCUUGCUGUCACUUAUAGAUGGAUCCGCGCUGCAUUAGCUAGUUGGUAAGGUAACGGCUUACCAAGGCAACGAUGCAUAGCCGCCCUGAGAGGGUGAUCGGCCACACUGGAACUGAGACACGGUCCAGACUCCUACGGGAGGCAGCAGUAGGGAAUCUUACGCAAUGGGCGAAAGCCUGACGGAGCAACGCCGCGUGAGUGACGAAGGUCUUCGGAUCGUAAAACUCUGUUAUUCGGGAAGAACAUAUGUGUAAGUAACUGUGAACAUCUUGACGGUACCUAAUCAGAAAGCCCCGGCUAACUCCGUG
This 497-nucleotide ribosomal RNA is filed under the name uncultured bacterium. RNAcentral's name for it is "partial 16S ribosomal RNA". It matches the Rfam family "Bacterial small subunit ribosomal RNA", at positions 28 to 507 of the family's 1533-position model. The record is from RNAcentral.